This is a non-coding RNA of Thioflavicoccus mobilis 8321, 235 nucleotides long. The record is from Rfam. NCBI's taxonomy places the organism in Bacteria, Pseudomonadati, Pseudomonadota, Gammaproteobacteria, Chromatiales, Chromatiaceae.
GAAGCUCUCCCGAGUUAGGGCCUAGUCAGCCGCUCGGAAGUGUAACGACCGGAGGGCGAAAGCCCGACGGUUGGAUAAGCGCGUGACACGAGGUGAAGGGUGUUGCCCUGAAUCUGAAACGUAGCCCCGAGAAGCUUCUAUUUUGGGAGAGAGCCGAUCCUGUCAGGUCGGGCGCAGGCCAUGCGGGCGGUGCGCAAGAGAUGAGCACCAAGCGUCCCCCCGGGGUCUCAGACGG